Rhinopithecus roxellana (golden snub-nosed monkey) is the source of this 187-nucleotide long non-coding RNA. RefSeq lists it as uncharacterized. The transcript is spliced from 3 exons. Lineage: Eukaryota; Metazoa; Chordata; Mammalia; Primates; Cercopithecidae. The record is from RefSeq and is a predicted model, not a curated record.
GUCUAAACCAGAGGGCUCCUCUCAUUUUCUUUCAGUAACAACUGCUCUGAAAAGAAGGUAUUUUUCAACCUGGACUUGAAGUAACUAGUGGAGAGGCAGGAUACCUCCCUCAACAAUGGAUAUUUCUAGGGAGCAUCAUAGAGGAGAUUCCAGCUCUACUCCUUCUUGCUGAGGUCAAAGUAGAAGC